Molecule: transfer RNA, 84 nt
Filed under: Clostridia bacterium
Lineage: Bacteria; Bacillati; Bacillota; Clostridia
Description: tRNA-Leu
Rfam family: tRNA
About the family: Transfer RNA (tRNA) molecules are approximately 80 nucleotides in length. Their secondary structure includes four short double-helical elements and three loops (D, anti-codon, and T loops). Further hydrogen bonds mediate the characteristic L-shaped molecular structure. tRNAs have two regions of fundamental functional importance: the anti-codon, which is responsible for specific mRNA codon recognition, and the 3' end, to which the tRNAs corresponding amino acid is attached (by aminoacyl-tRNA synthetases). tRNAs cope with the degeneracy of the genetic code in two manners: having more than one tRNA (with a specific anti-codon) for a particular amino acid; and 'wobble' base-pairing, i.e. permitting non-standard base-pairing at the 3rd anti-codon position.
Source: RNAcentral
GCGGAAGUGGCGGAACUGGCAGACGCGCACGCUUGAGGGGCGUGUGGUUUAACCGUGCGGGUUCAAUUCCCGCCUUCCGCACCA